RNAcentral lists this ribosomal RNA (279 nucleotides) under uncultured bacterium. Its description in RNAcentral is "partial 16S ribosomal RNA". It matches the Rfam family "Bacterial small subunit ribosomal RNA", at positions 506 to 784 of the family's 1533-position model. The record is from RNAcentral.
UGCCAGCAGCCGCGGUAAUACGUAGGAUCCCCGCGUUAUCCGGAAUUAUUGGGUUUAAAGGGUUCGUAGGCGGGUCAAUAAGUCAGAGGUGAAAUCUUGCAGCUUAACUGUAAAAUUGCCUUUGAUACUGUUGACCUUGAAUUAUUGUGAAGUGGUUAGAAUAUGUAGUGUAGCGGUGAAAUGCUUAGAGAUUACAUAGAAUACCGAUUGCGAAGGCAGAUCACUAACAAUAUAUUGAAGCUGAUGAACGCAAGCGUUGGUCGCGAACGGGAUUAGAUA